This 253-nucleotide ribosomal RNA is filed under the name uncultured bacterium. RNAcentral's name for it is "partial 16S ribosomal RNA". It matches the Rfam family "Bacterial small subunit ribosomal RNA", at positions 524 to 776 of the family's 1533-position model. The record is from RNAcentral.
UACGUAGGGGGCAAGCGUUGUCCGGAUUUAUUGGGCGUAAAGAGCGUGUAGGCGGCCAGGUAGGUCCGUUGUGAAAACUGGAGGCUUAACCUCGAGCUGUCGAUGGAAACCAUCUGGCUAGAGUCCGGAAGAGGAGAGUGGAAUUCCUGGUGUAGCGGUGAAAUGCGCAGAUAUCAGGAAGAACACCCGUGGCGAAGGCGGCUCUCUGGGACGGUACUGACGCUGAGACGCGAAAGCGUGGGGAGCGAACAGG